RNAcentral lists this long non-coding RNA (4122 nucleotides) under Lynx pardinus (Iberian lynx). The stretch from base 2278 to 2361 matches the Rfam family "mir-22 microRNA precursor family". Lineage: Eukaryota; Metazoa; Chordata; Mammalia; Carnivora; Felidae. The record is from RNAcentral.
GCCCCAGAGUGGGUGUGGUCACGCUGCCCAGCAGUGGGCGGUGAUUGGCCCUGGGCGGUGCAAUCGCAGCUUGUGCGUCACGACGCCGCCAGCUGAUCGGAGCCUGGAGCCGGUGUGUGCUGGGCGCAGGGAAGACACAGCGCCGCCGGCCGUGGGGGACGGACGCACUGAUUUGCUCCCCUACCCUCAGCAGCCCCCCCACCCAGCACCAGGUGGGUGUGAGCUGGGGUCUCCGCCGCACAGGAGGGAACCGUGCUAACAGGGUAACGGGGGAAAGUAGGGUCCUGGUGGCCACACCCUGCCCUUCCGGGGGAGGGGAGAGGGGGCGGCGGGGGUAGGGGAGCUUUGGGGCAGAGGGGCCUGAACUGGCUGGAGUAGUGUGGCAGGAGGUUUAAAGAAGGAGCCAGGACAGCAGUAGUGGCGGAAGGUUUUGCAGAGUGGCUAAAAGGGAGACGAGGGGCUGGAGGGCUGGGGGCAGCUAACCUGGGCGCCCCCUGGUCAAAGGAUAUGAGAACUGGCCUUCUAGCUUGCGGAGGGUUUGGACCCGGCGGGUAGUGAGGAGGUAGUUUUCCUUUACUGGCAGUCAGUGGGUCAGGGCCAAUUGAGCGCCCUGGCAGGGAAGGGGUCUCUGGGCGGGCCGGCCCCUCCUCUCGUUCCCUCCAGGGGAUGUUAUGUAAGGGGGGAGGGGAGAGGAGUAGGGGGCGGCGGUGCGGGGGCCUUAUGCAACCCAAAGGUUAGGGUUUCACCGCGGUUGGUGGGGGAAGCGGGCUGGAGGAGGACCUGGAAACUCUAACCCCCCCUCCCCAGCCUAACUGGCCGUCUUGGGCCCAGAGAAGGUCACCUCUGCACCUCCCCCCAGCAUGUCCGGUUGUGGGGCCCCUAGCCCAGGCCUGGCCCUGACCGCCUGGGAAGCCGGCUGACUGGGUGGGGCGCCUGGGUUAGUCAUCACUGGGCUCCCUCUCUCCCCACCUCUCGGCCAACUCUUGGCCCCUCCCUAUGGCCUCUCGCUAGGCUAUCGCCCCCACCUCCCUCCGGCCCUAGUUACAGCCUCCAACUCAUUUGGCCUGUCAUCCUGGCUGUCAGACUGGGCUAGGAAUUGUCAGGGUGCCAAAGGGUUGAUGGAGCAGCUGGUCAGAGGGUCAGUGCCCUGGGCCCACCCCGCCCUGCAGCCAAGGGCACCUGCUUGGCACAGACUCUGAGCAGCCGCUGAGUCCUAUGGGCUGAAUAGAGCUGGCUCAGACAGAGGAGAGUGGGAAGGAGUUGGACUGGUCACCUGGGGGAAGGAAGAUACCACAAAGUUCAUGUCUCCCUAGAGGGUUUUGUAAUUUGAAAACCUCCCACCCCCACCCUAGUCUUUCUUAUCCUCUGAGUAUAGAAGUCUGAAAGCAAGACCGCCUUGGCCGCUCACACUGGCAUGGGCCAUGCCCUUGGACUGAGUGUCAGCACAGACCCGCCCUCCCCAGCUCUCAGCCCUCUAGCCUGCCACGCCCCCAGCCCCCUCCCUGGGCCAUGCUGCAGGGCCCGGCUUUUCCUGCUGAUUCAUGCGUUGGAACUGUGGGGGCGGGGCUUGGAACUUGGAACAAAGUUCAGACAUGGAGGGGCCGGCAGACAGCCUGGAAUUCAUACCAGAUGUACCCGGAAUGCGCAAGCGGAAUGCCUGGCAUUUGAGAGUCUUGGGGAAGCUGCCCAUCCACCCUGCCCAUACCUCCCUCCCCUCCAGCCUUUGGUCCCCUGUCCUCUCCUCACAGUCCCUGGAGCCUCUGCUGACCUUCCAAACACUUCCUUACUCUUCCCCAGAUGUAGGCCCCCAAAACUCUUCUAGCUGAACUCUUUGGGAACAAGUCAGUUGGGCUGAUCACUGAACUCACAUUUUUGGACCUAAGGUACAACUUCUCACCAAGUACCUGGGCGAUUGGUGGGACGUGUCCAAGGUUCUAAGUCCUGCCCUCUCUGAAUGCUGAAGAGGAGGGGCCCUUCGUGGGUAGCUGAGGCAAGGGGUGGGGGGUGGGGUGAGAGCAGGCCUGGGUCUCUACAGCCUUCAGUUCUGGAAAGAGGUGCAAGGAGGUAUGUUUAGAGCUGCCUCUUGCUUCUCACUGAAGUCAACCGCUCCUGCAGGCCCAAGUCAAAGCCAAGAACCCUUUGUUACAAGGUUGAGCAUCUGUUGGAGCUGGACUUUGAUGCCAGUGGGACAGUGCCCCUGUGACAUGGCCCUGCUUAGAUCCUUCCCAUUUUUCUUCCCUUUCCUUUUAGGAGCCUGUCCCUCCCACAUCCUCAACUGGCUGAGCCGCAGUAGUUCUUCAGUGGCAAGCUUUAUGUCCUGACCCAGCUAAAGCUGCCAGUUGAAGAACUGUUGCCCUCUGCCCCUGGCUUCAAGGAGGAGGAGGAAGAGGAGAAGGAGCUGCUUUCCCCCUCAUCUGGAAGGUGACGGAACUGGGGCUGGGAAGGUCAGAACAGCGGGAGUGGUGAUGCCUUUUGGAAAAGGGAACCUUGUUCAGUUGGAGACCCUUCAGCCAGAUUGGCCCAGCAAGAGAGAACAGUUGUAGAUUAGAGACCCUCGUUGGGCUGGGGACUAGAUGGCUGUGACUACCCAAGGUUAGUUGGUCUACAUCAGUGUGUGACAAAGGGAAGACAAUGGGAGCAAAGAAAACUGGCAACACCUUUACUCAGAUGUCUUUCUUGACCCUCCUUCCUGUCUCCCUUUCUUUCCUACUGCCUUUCCAGGUGAGGUCCAAAGUAAAUUUCAUCUUCAGGGAAGAGGUCAUACUGAAACUCCCAUCUGAGUAGUCAACCCCAUGCUCUUAGCUUUCCCUGUAUUUCCUCAGACUGGCCUAGACUCCAGUUACAGGGAUAAAUCACCUAUAGUGGGACCCUUGGGCCUCUUGUCUCAGCUUCAACACCUGUGAGAUGCAGAAUCAUACAGUUGAAUGUGCAGGAGGGAAUCAGAAGCCUACUGUGCAGACUCAGAGCCUGGGCUCUCCUCUCCCUGUGGGUGGGAACAAAACAGCUUUUCAUAUAAGCUGUUGCCCCUCCCCCAUCCCUAACCAACACAACCCCAGGAGCUGGGGGUGGGGGGAGGAUUAGAGGGAGGGGGCUAGAGUUAGACCAGGGCUAGGGGCUGGAGGAGCUCAGUCUCUACAUUGACUUCCCACCAUGCAAAGGCGGCCCCAGGUUUCCUCUGCCACCCAAAACAGAACUGUAGCCCCUGAUGGGGUUCCAACUGCUGUUCCUCUGUUUCUUCUCUCACUUUACCUUCCAGGAUAAUUUGUGAGACUCAGCUCAGGCUUAUGAGGCAGGAAAUUCUCUCCAGCAACCAGGCGAGAUGGGUUGUGGGAUGUGACCCCCUCUGGGGAAUCAAGCUGUGUAAACCUAGCACCCCUGGCUCCUGAUGCCAUGUAACUCUUGGGGCUCAGGCUCUGGUGUGGUUCAACCGUGGCCCAGCCUCCCUGCCUGAAGGUGGCCAAAUUCAGGGGCUGCAGAAAGCUGUCCCGCUGUGGGGCACAAGAUGUACAGGUAGCUGGGUCCUUUUCUCCAUUUAUGAGAGAGAUUUAGGGGAGAGUAGAUCAUUGAACCCACCCUUCUGCAGCCUAGGCUGGAUGUGUGUGGGAUUGCAGUGGAGGGGGUGGGUAGACUGGGUCCACUCAUAGGCUGCAACAAAGAUUGUUCUGUCCCUGGACAUUGCUUCCGUCCUUUCUUCCCCUCUCCGCUUCACUGGCCACAGUGUCUCCCUCCAGCCCUGGGUAUGUGGCUCUGCCAUCCUCACCCGUCAUGGAGCAGAGAUGAGGAAGAGCAGCCUGGGAACACAGAGGCAGGCAGAAGACCAGUGAAGGACCAGGCCCGGAGAGCACAGGGCCCUGUCUGGGCACCCCGCAGAGGGGACCCAUAAAGGCCAGGAGCACCCCAGGAGGAGGGAGGACGGCCAGCCUCCAUCAAGAACAAGCUCCCGGCCACUGGCUUCAUUCACUAUUUCUCUCCAGUGUCACUACCUCCCUGAGAUAUGAGACUGUGUUAAAAUGUCCUGUUGCUUCAUCCUCCUACUUCUACUCCCUACCCUAUAGAGUGAUAUAAAGCAGCCUCAAGGAGCAAGAACCAGCUGUGAAAGGACAUAUGUAGGGAAUUCAUAGA